AUGGUGCAUGCUGUUCUUGUUAGUCAUGGGAGGACCUCAAAUAAAUGAUCAGAAGGUGCUUGUUGCAGAUGAUCGAUUGGAUUUAAGUAGUCUUAACUCUGGGAAUGACACUUUAAUGGCUCUGUGUCCAAAGAACCAAAGUCUGGUGUUCAGCCCCUACCAAAUCCACGGGCAUCUCAACCACGUCAGUGCAAACCCAAACAGUCACAGGUGCCCCAGCAACAACUAAAAGCUUCCUGCCCACCCAAGAAGCAGCCUUCAUGCCGACCCUGUCCGCCCCAGGGGCCUAGCUGCUGGCCCUGCCCACACAAGGAGCAGUCUGCCUGCCGGCCUUGCCCAACCUUGAGCUGCCAGCUAAAGCAGCCCCAAAAGCCAGAGUUGUCUGAGCAUGUUGGUGACCCAGCACUGUAUCAGCCUCAGGUGACCCAGCAGACUGGUUUGCAUCCACCCAGUCUACAUCAGGUGACCCAGCAGACUGGUUUGCAUCCACCCAGUCUACAUCAGGUGACCCAGCAGACUGGUUUGCAUCCACCCAGUCUACAUCAGGUGACCCAGCAGACUGGUUUGCAUCCACCCAGUCUACAUCAGGUGACCCAGCAGACUGGUUUGCAGCCACCCAGUCUACAUCAGGUGACCCAGCAGACUGGUUUGCAGCCACCCAGUCUACAUCAGGUGACCCAGCAGACUGGUUUGCAGCCACCCAGUCUACAUCAGGUGACCCAGCAGACUGGUUUGCAGCCACACCAUCCACCCAGCGUCCCUGAGGAGAGCCGGCAGCCUGUUGUGCAUCCACCCAGCGUCCCUGAGGAGAGCCAACAGCCUGUUGUGCAUCCACCCAGCGACCCUGAGGAGAGCCGGCAGCCUGUUGUGCAUCCACCCAGCGACCCUGAGGAGAGCCGGCAGCCUGUUGUGCAUCCACCCAGCGACCCUGAGGAGAGCCAGCAGACUGGUGUGCCUCCACUCAUUACGCCUCAGUCUAUCUCAGGUGACCCGGCAGACUGGUUUACAUCCACACCAUCUACCCAGUCUAUCUCAGGUGACCCAGCAGACUGGUUUACAUCCACACCAUCUACCCAGUCUAUCUCAGGUGACCCAGCAGACUGGUUUACAUCCACACCAUCUACCCAGUCUAUCUCAGGUGACCCGGCAGACUGGUUUACAUCCACACCAUCUACCCAGUCUAUUUCAGGUGACCCAGCAGACUGGUUUACAUCCACACCAUCUACCCAGUCUAUUUCAGGUGACCCAGCAAACCAGUUUGCAUCCACACUUUCAACUUCAGGUGACAAAGCAGACUGGUUUACAUCCACAGCAUCCACAUCAGGUACCCCAGCAAACUGGUUUGCAUUCACACUCUCUGCCUCUGGCAAUGCAGCAGAAAGGCUUCCCACCCCUGCAUCCUCAGCCACCACAGGGCCCUCAGCAGGCUGCCUUUCUGCCCCAGUACCCCCAUCCACAGGUUCCCCAGCAGGCUGUCUUUCCAUCCCUGCACCCCCAUCCGCAGGUGCCCCAGCAGGCAGUCUUCCCGCCCCUGUACCUCCAUCCGCAGGUGCCCCAGCAGGCAGUCUUCCCGCCCCUGUACCUCCAUCCGCAGGUGCCCCAGCAGGCAGUCUUCCCGCCCCUGUACCUCCAUCCGCAGGUGCCCCAGCAGGCAGUCUUCCCGCCCCUGUACCUCCAUCCGCAGGUGCCCCAGCAGGCAGUCUUCCCGCCCCUGUACCUCCAUCCGCAGGUGCCCCAGCAGGCAGUCUUCCCGCCCCUGUACCUCCAUCCGCAGGUGCCCCAGCAGGCAGUCUUCCCGCCCCUGUACCUCCAUCCGCAGGUGCCCCAGCAGGCAGUCUUCCCGCCCCUGUACCUCCAUCCGCAGGUGCCCCAGCAGGCAGUCUUCCCGCCCCUGUACCCUCAGCCUCAGCCCAUGCCUCAGCAGACAUAUUACCAAUUCAAGCAGCUUCUGGAAGCCCAAUGGCCCCAACGGCCACUCUACCAGCUCCAGGCCAAGCAGCCACGCCACCAGCCUUUCAUGUCACACUACCAAUCCCGAUUGCCAAGCUACAGUCCCAAGGUGCCACUGUACCAGGCCAAGAAGCUUCAGCACCCCCGCAGAUCAGAUACCAACCUUAA
This is a long non-coding RNA of Oreochromis niloticus (Nile tilapia), 2118 nucleotides long. The record is from Ensembl. NCBI's taxonomy places the organism in Eukaryota, Metazoa, Chordata, Actinopteri, Cichliformes, Cichlidae.